This 496-nucleotide ribosomal RNA is filed under the name uncultured bacterium. Its description in RNAcentral is "partial 16S ribosomal RNA". It matches the Rfam family "Bacterial small subunit ribosomal RNA", at positions 28 to 506 of the family's 1533-position model. The record is from RNAcentral.
GAUGAACGCUGGCGGCGUGCCUAAUACAUGCAAGUCGAGCGAACAGACGAGGAGCUUGCUCCUCUGACGUUAGCGGCGGACGGGUGAGUAACACGUGGAUAACCUACCUAUAAGACUGGGAUAACUUCGGGAAACCGGAGCUAAUACCGGAUAAUAUAUUGAACCGCAUGGUUCAAUAGUGAAAGACGGUUUUGCUGUCACUUAUAGAUGGAUCCGCGCCGCAUUAGCUAGUUGGUAAGGUAACGGCUUACCAAGGCAACGAUGCGUAGCCGACCUGAGAGGGUGAUCGGCCACACUGGAACUGAGACACGGUCCAGACUCCUACGGGAGGCAGCAGUAGGGAAUCUUCCGCAAUGGGCGAAAGCCUGACGGAGCAACGCCGCGUGAGUGAUGAAGGUCUGCGGAUCGUAAAACUCUGUUAUUAGGGAAGAACAAAUGUGUAAGUAACUAUGCACGUCUUGACGGUACCGAAUCAGAAAGCCACGGCUAACUACGU